UCUUAGAUAUAAAUUAACCUUAUUUACCAGAGUACUACGAACGUUAAGUUUAAAACUCAAAGAGCUUGGCGGUGCUUUAGACUCCUCAGGGGAACCUGUCCCAUAAUCGACAGUCCACGAAUCAACCUCACCUUCUCUAGCAAAUCAGUAUGUAUACCGUCGUCGUCAGGUAACUUUUAAAAAUAUAGAAGUUAGCAAUUAAAAAAAUUAAUUUUUCACGUCAGAUCAAGGUGCAGCCUAUGAAAAGGAGUGGAUGGGUUACAAUUAAUAUUUAUAACUACGAAUUUAACUUUUAACAAGUUUUUGAAGGCGGACUUGAAAGUAAAGCCUAGCAGUUAAAUGCCUUGAAUCAAGCUCUGAAGCG
Molecule: ribosomal RNA, 364 nt
Filed under: Littoraria angulifera
Lineage: Eukaryota; Metazoa; Mollusca; Gastropoda; Littorinimorpha; Littorinidae
Description: partial 12S ribosomal RNA
Source: RNAcentral